UACGUAGGGGGCAAGCGUUGUCCGGAUUUAUUGGGCGUAAAGCGCACGCAGGCGGUCUUUUAAGUUUUGAGUGACAGGUAAGGGCUUAACUCUUACAGGACGCAGAAAACUGGAAGACUUGAGGGCUUCAGAGGGACGUGGAAUUCCAGGUGGAGCGGUGAAAUGCGUAGAGAUCUGGAAGAACACCGAAGGCGAAGGCAGCGUCCUGGGAAGCAUCUGACGCUGAGGUGCGAAAGCCAGGGGAGCGAACGGG
RNAcentral lists this ribosomal RNA (253 nucleotides) under uncultured Ktedonobacter sp. RNAcentral describes it as "partial 16S ribosomal RNA". It matches the Rfam family "Bacterial small subunit ribosomal RNA", at positions 524 to 776 of the family's 1533-position model. Lineage: Bacteria; Bacillati; Chloroflexota; Ktedonobacteria; Ktedonobacterales; Ktedonobacteraceae. The record is from RNAcentral.